Molecule: long non-coding RNA, 1106 nt
Organism: Populus euphratica (Euphrates poplar)
Lineage: Eukaryota; Viridiplantae; Streptophyta; Magnoliopsida; Malpighiales; Salicaceae
Exons: 3
Source: RefSeq, a predicted model, not a curated record
GACCCAUACAAAGCCCAGGACCAGAAGGGUAGAGAGUGAUUUGAAGCCCUGAAUUAACAGACCGUCUUCUUGGACGCCACAAAAAAGGGUUUGCUUCCUCUGCUCUCACGGAUUCAGGCGCAGCGGAGGGACAGGGAGAAGGAGAGGAAGCUUGUAUAGCUUGCUAUUAUUUGGUGCCAUGUCGAAAGAGAAUUCAACAGCCCGAAUAUGGCUAAGCAGGAGCUCUCCUGCACUUUGAAGAACUUGAUGUGCGGUAAUAAUGGAAGGGGUCCUGACCCAGGAGCAGUUUUUGGCUGGAUGUCUUUUCAAAGUUUCAUUAGGAUGAAGGUCAAGUGACCUGAAAGUUUUUAUUCAAUGAAUAAUCACUUCCCAACCUUCUUUUCUGGCUUGUGUUCACUGCUCUCCUCAUGUCAAAACCAUUAUCUUGGUAGAAACUUAAUAAGCAGCAGCAAAUGAAGCUUCUGAUGCACGUGCCUCUACUUCCAGCUGUUAGUGGAAGAUCUUUGAGAGAAAAUGAAUCAUCACCAGAUGGAGUAGAGUGCUCAAGCACUGCUAAACCGAGUUCUGAGGUGAACGGAGAUCAUUAAAGAAAACAAUCUGAAGUAAUAGCUGAAACACAACAUCAAAACAAGUCACUGAAAACGGUUCAAGAUGGCGGCGGCAAUCAUCACUGAAUAGUAGUAAAGGCUCCUUCGAGCAGCCACAGCAUGACAAGCUGGACUAGAGUGUUCUCAGACCAAAAGGUCAACUCAAUCGAAAUGAAAGAGGGUGAGCACAUGUAGGUCGUUCCCUUGGUAGUCAUGGAAUUUCUUUUCUUAUUAAUGUUAGGUUGAGCAUUCGUCUCUGUAACUGGGUACACUUCUCUUCUAGCCCUGCAUCUUUCCUGCUAGUGAGUGCAUAAGAUGUUGUGUAAUUUCUUUACUUACAGAGAUUGUCUCUGUAACUGGGUGUACUUCUCUUCUAGCCCUUCUAACCAACGCUGGUCAUUACUGGAAUAAUUUUGUUUGGACUAUUGCUGGGACGAUGCUUGGGGCAUAAACGCAACAGGGUUUUCUCUGCUGCAGAAUGUGGAAUCAUUUUGAUAUAGAAACAACGUACAAUGGGAA